This 1352-nucleotide long non-coding RNA is filed under the name Homo sapiens (human). Its description in RNAcentral is "non-protein coding lnc-ZNF33B-4:16". Lineage: Eukaryota; Metazoa; Chordata; Mammalia; Primates; Hominidae. The record is from RNAcentral.
GCAUGAAAUAAUUCAUUUUGAAGAGGAACCUUCUGAAUAUAAUAACAAUGGGAACAGCUUCUGGCUGAAUGAAGACCUCAUUUGGCAUCAGAAGAUUAAAAAUUGGGAGCAACCUUUUGAAUACAAUGAAUGUGGGAAAGCUUUCCCUGAGAAUUCACUCUUCCUUGUACAUAAGAGAGCUUACACAGGACAGAAAACAUGCAAAUAUACUGAACAUGGGAAAACCUGUUAUAUGUCAUUUUUUAUUACUCAUCAGCAAACACAUCCAAGAGAGAACCACUAUGAAUGUAAUGAAUGUGGAGAAAGUAUCUUUGAGGAAUCCAUUCUCUUUGAACAUCAGAAUGUUUACCCAUUCAGCCAGAAUUUAAAUCCCACUCUAAUUCAGAGAACCCACUCAAUUAGCAAUAUUAUUGAAUAUAAUGAAUGUGGAACCUUUUUCAGUGAAAAAUUAGCCCUUCAUUUACAACAGAGAACACAUCCAGGGGAAAAACCUUAUGAAUGUCAUGAAUGUGGAAAAACCUUCACCCAGAAGUCAGCCCACACAAGACAUCAGAGAACACACACAGGGAAAACCCUAUGAAUGUCACGGAUGUGGGAAGACCUUCUAUAAGAAUUCAGACCUCAUUAGAAAUCAAAGAAUUCACACAGGGGAGAGACCUUACAGAUGUCAUGAAUGGAGAAAUCCUUCAGUGAAAAGUCAUCCCUUACUCAAAAUCAGAGAACACACGUGGGGAGAAAUCAUGAAUGUCAUGAAUGUGGGAAAACCUCGUUUAAGUCAGUUCUAACUGUGCAUCAGAAAACACACAGGGGAGAAGCCCUAUGAAUGCUAUGCAUGUGGCAACACCUUUCUCAGAAAAUCCGACCUCAUUAAACAUCAGAGAAUUCACACAGGAGAAAAACCUUAUGAAUGUAAUGAAUGUGGGAAGUCAUUCUCCGAGAAGUCAACCCUUACUAAACAUCUAAGAACACACAGAUGGGAAAUCUUAUGCAUGUAUUCAAUGUGGAAAAUUUUUCUGCUGCUACUACAGUUUCACAGAACAUCUGAGAAGACACACAGGGGAGAAACCUUUUGGAUGUAAUGAAUGUGGGAAAACCUUCCAUCAGAAGUUGGCCCUAAUUGUUCACCAGAGAACUCAUAUAAGACAGAAACCCUAUGGAUGUAAUGAAUGUGGAAAAUCAUUCUGUGUGAAGUCAAAACUCAUUGCACAUCAUAGAACAUACACAGGGGAGAAACCCUAUGAAUGUAAUGUUUGUGGAAAAUUAUUAUUAAGUCAAAACUAACUGUACAUCACAGAACACACUUGAGGUGAAACCCUAUAAAUGUAGUAAGUGAGGGAAAUUACUCUGGGUGA